This 65-nucleotide transfer RNA is filed under the name Oncylocotis sp. PJ-2015. RNAcentral's name for it is "tRNA-Ser". The record is from RNAcentral. Lineage: Eukaryota; Metazoa; Arthropoda; Insecta; Hemiptera; Enicocephalidae.
AGUUAAUAAGUUUAUAAACAUAUAUUUUGAAAAUAUAAAAAAAAGAAUAAAAUCUUUAUUAACUU